GACAAUUGACUAACAACCUCUACCUUCCCCUCCCCCAUUCCCCACCAACUAUGUGACUGGCUAUUUUUACACCCACAGGCCAAACUGUGCAUGUAGAGAGAAGGGAGAGAGGGUGGUCCACAUAGCAGCCAGCCAACCCAGAGGGAGGUGGCACCACAGAUAGCCUAAAUCUGCAAAAGUAUGAGACCCAAAUACUUCAAUACUGUAUAAUAUAUAGGGUAUGAAAUUUGGCAUUCUGGUCUCUUCAAUUCCGGCAUGGUGAGCUGUCUGGUGUGCCAACUCCCACCACACAGGAGCUGUUGGAGACACAAAUCAGUGAAGACUGAAGACUGCAGGAUAGUCUCGUGACUGUCAGACAGUGCAGCAGACACAGAGGGACUUGAAGGAAUCAUCUGUCAUCAUAACUAAAAUGUUCACCUAUUUACUUCCACAGGAGUACUUUGCAACAAAAUGUGACUUAUUUUACGGAUUUCCAAAGUAAAACAUUUUAAAGAUAUUAAUCCAUGGCUUAGUGAGAUUCCUUGACAUUGUAUGACUAAUAUAGACCCAGAGAUUUUCAUCAAGUUACUGUUUAUUAUUCCAACAGUAUCUUCAGUAAUUUGUGUGGUAAAACUGUCCUUUUGUUCUCAAAAAUUAGCAAUUAAAAAUAUUUUUAAACCCUUUAUUGAUAAGUAUUUACAACAAACGUAUUGGAAAUAUUUAGAACAAGCAAAAUAUUCAUAUGCCAAAAGAAAGAAUUACAAUUUUUAAAAGCACACAACAUUGCAGCUAUAUUCUUGGAAAAAAUAUAGCUGAUAAUAUAGAUUGUCCAAAUACACCAUCUUGGGAUGACUGCUCUGUGACGAGAACCCAGAGUUCCACAAUGCUAAGACAUAAACUGUCUGUAUGCAGCCUGCCGUCUUCACCUUCAUCUGGAAAUUCAACUAGAGCACGCAGGUUAUUCAGAUGCUCCUGGCCAGACACAGGACUCCCACCUCCGGAGUGUUGGUGAUGUUGCAACAAGGUGGAUGUUGCACUCAGCACUUCCUCUCCACCACAGAUGGCAUCUCUACACCUCUGGGAGAUGCACCAGGAAGGCUGCCCGGGGACAGGAGAUGAUGUUGGAGAAGAGGCACAAGGGCUGAGUAGCUCAAGGCCUGGAUCCCAUUCCAAACAUUGCUCCAACACUCACUGUGUCCACUGUAAAUUCAACUGUUGAAUGUGCUGCUAGUGACAGAUAAAAAUCUUCUUCUUUUCCUUUCGGCUUUUUCCCUUUAGGGGUCACCACAGUGAGUCAUCCGUCUCCAGGUCCAUCCUCAGCAUCCUUCUACUGAUGUAUUCAGUGUCUCUCCUCUGUACAUGUCCAAACCAUUUCAAUCUGGCAUCUCGGACUUUAUCUCCUACACGUCUGACAUGAGUUGUUCCUCUGAUGUAUUUCUGAUCUUAUCCAUCCUUGUCACUCCCAAAGAGUACCUCAACAUUUUAAUCUCUGCUACCUCCAGCUCUGCCUCCUGCCUCUUUGUCAUUGCCAGUGUCUCUAAACCGAACAGCAUUGCUGAUCUCACUACUGUCUUGUAGACCUUUCCCUUCAUUCUUGCUGAUACUCUUUUGUUACACUUCACACCUGACAGUUUUCUCCACCCAGCAAGGGCAUCCGGCAUAAAACAUUUGCCAAAUCUGACAUGCGAGUCAAGAAUAUGAUCUCCAGUGACAGAUAAAAAUAAUUACUGAAUAUUAUAAACAUUAUUAUAUUUAUCAUUG
Molecule: non-coding RNA, 1740 nt
Organism: Poecilia reticulata (guppy)
Lineage: Eukaryota; Metazoa; Chordata; Actinopteri; Cyprinodontiformes; Poeciliidae
Source: RefSeq, a predicted model, not a curated record